RNA transcript from Musa acuminata AAA Group (dessert banana), 1492 nucleotides. It is a transcript of the gene named tobamovirus multiplication protein 3-like, with no coding region annotated. The record is from RefSeq and is a predicted model, not a curated record. The transcript has 12 exons. NCBI's taxonomy places the organism in Eukaryota, Viridiplantae, Streptophyta, Magnoliopsida, Zingiberales, Musaceae.
GAUGCCGUGCGAUGCGCUGUGCUCUCCACCACCGUCGGAUCCACCGCCCAUAUCGGAUUGGCCUUUUCCUCUUUUGCCUCCUCCUUUCUAUAUCGCGCUUCGAAAAUAAACCGUUUCUCGCUCUCCCUCCUCUCCCUCGAUUCCGCCACCCUCGUGUUCGAUCCCGGCGAGUAAGGUCCGCUCGCCGCACACUAUUAGCCCCCGCCGAGGCGCCGCCUUAUGGCCUCCUCGUCGGCCUUUCUUGCGCUCCGGAGCGCCUCCGAUUGGUGGGAUGAGGUGAACAACUCCAGCCUGUGGCAGGAUCGGAUCUUCCACGCCCUCUCCCUUCUCUUUGGACUCAUCUCCGUCGUCGCCCUCAUUCAAUUGGUUAGGAUCGAAUGUAGAGUACCCGAGUUUGGCUGGACGACGCAGAAGGUCUUCCACUUCUUGAACUUCCUCGUGAAUGGGGUUCGUUCUCUCGUCUUUGUGUUUCGUAGGGGCAUCCAGAAAAUAAACCCUGUGAUAAUUCAACAUAUUCUACUGGAUUUGCCUGGUCUUGCAUUCUUCACUACAUAUGCUCUGCUGGUUUUAUUUUGGGCUGAAAUCUAUUAUCAGGCACGUUCUGUGUCUACUGAUGGGCUUAGGCCAAGCUUCUACACAAUUAAUGCGGUGGUCUAUGUUAUUCAGAUCUCUCUUUGGUUAGUUUUGUGGUGGAAGCCAGUCCAAGCUAUGAUCAUUUUAUCCAAGUUAUUCUUUGCAGGUGUCUCGUUCUUUGCUGCCCUUGGUUUUCUUUUAUAUGGAGGGAGGCUUUUCUUAAUGUUGAAGCGCUUCCCUGUUGAAUCAAAAGGGCGACGUAAGAAGUUACAGGAGGUUGGCUAUGUUACGACCAUAUGUUUUCUAUGUUUCUCGUUGAGAUGCAUUAUGAUUUGCUUCAACACUUUUGACAAAGCUGCAGACCUUGAUGUUCUGGAUCAUCCAAUUCUGAACUUCAUAUACUACCUGUUUGUUGAAAUUUUGCCCUCAGCUCUAGUACUUUUCAUCUUAAGGAAAUUACCGCCUAAACGUGGGAUCACUCAAUACCAUCCAAUCCAUUGACUUGGGGUUCCUACUUUUGUUGUUGAUGUACUCACCAUAAACCAAUUAGUCUGCGAAGCCAUUUCAUGCUGAAGUUUACAGGGAAGAAAUCAACAAAACUGGCAUCCCGUGAUGAUGAUCAACAUGUUCAGGUACCAUGAAGUUGAACACCAGAAUGGCAAUUCUGUCUCCAUGAAACUAUGAUAAUACAUUAUGGUGGUCAGGAUCUUUGAAAUUUUCUUAUGUCAGGGAAAAGCCAAGAAUCCCAGCUAAAUGUUUAGAUUCUUGGACCAGGUUUUGACGAACCAUUAGCAAACGUUGCAACACCGAACACUCUUUGCUUUAACUAUCGAUUUUUUGGUGGUGUCCUUGUGACUAAUUAUUGCUAUCAAAAUUGAAAUAAAUGAGUGCUUCACACGAGGAACACUUUAUUUUGCCA